GUACAAGGCCAUACCACCCUGAAUGCACCCGAUCUCAUCUGAUCUCAGAGGCUAAGCAGAGCUGGGCCUGGUUAGCACUCAAUGGAAGGAAAGAGGCAGUAGUGUAUG
This 108-nucleotide ribosomal RNA is filed under the name Oryctolagus cuniculus (rabbit). The record is from RNAcentral. Lineage: Eukaryota; Metazoa; Chordata; Mammalia; Lagomorpha; Leporidae.